RNAcentral lists this ribosomal RNA (245 nucleotides) under uncultured bacterium. RNAcentral describes it as "partial small subunit ribosomal RNA". It matches the Rfam family "Bacterial small subunit ribosomal RNA", at positions 26 to 285 of the family's 1533-position model. The record is from RNAcentral.
AGAAUCAACGCUGGCGGCGUGCCUAACACAUGCAAGUCGAACGAGAAAGUGGAGCAAUCCAUGAGUAAAGUGGCGCACGGGUGAGUAACACGUGACUAACCUACCCUUGAGUGGGGGAUAAACCUAGGGAAACCUGGGCUAAUACCGCAUAAUACCUUCGGGUCAAAGGAGCAAUUCGCUUUAGGAGGGGGUCGCGGCCGAUUAGUUAGUUGGCGGGGUAAUGGCCACCAAGACGAUGAUCGGUA